UAGCCAGUACGGUUCUGUUCCAAAUGACGUCGAAGUGUUUUGUUACCCGUUCUCUUUUCGGAUUUUCAUACCCCAAGCAAGAGUAGUACCACCCUUAUGAGAGAAAUGUUAACGAUUGUGUGUCAUGAGUGGUUCAUGAAGACUGAAGAGAGUUAGCUACCCCAAGCAAAGGAUGCCAGAACUCCCUUAUCUACUUAGUUUUCCGCCAUAUCCGACAGCGAACUCCCUCCUCCACAGUAUUUAUCCCACUGACUACGGCUUUGCCAACAGGAGAGAUGAAGGUGAUGGGAAUAAAUGGCACUGUGCAUGAAACUUCAGGUCCAAAACACAGGGGGACAGUUUCCUUCACACACCAUAGAAUUUUCAAGAGUUUCUCUACGUAAAUUAUCGAUUUCAAUUUUCUACUGUAACUCAGAGCAACCAACUUAUCGAAGAACAUGUCACAAAACACCGAACCAAGCAAACUGUUAAAGUUUCCCCUGAAACAAUAAUCAAGGAUUUCGGCGUCCACUUAUAUCCAAGUUAAAAGGUAGGUGACUCCACGGUCCUUGACGGUGACGUCAAGAGGACAGAGGUUACUUUGGCAAACAGGGUAUUCAGUAUUAAUUCAGUUUUUGUUUCGACGGCGAUCUGAGUGAUGGUGUUUCUUAGUGUGGUUAGGUUGUUUGGCGGUGGAUUUGGGCUGUUAUGGUUGAUACCAUUUUACGUCUAGGAGAAGAAAAUGAGGCUUGUCUUGUGAAGCUAAGACUGAAGUUUAGUGGUUUGAAGAACUGUACUACAGGCAGAGUCGUGAGGGAGUGUCUCGAGCUCUUCAAAAGGAUUUUCGUGGAAUCUAAAACCUGUCUUGACUCGGACUACAAUUGACAAGG
Molecule: long non-coding RNA, 869 nt
Organism: Macrobrachium nipponense
Lineage: Eukaryota; Metazoa; Arthropoda; Malacostraca; Decapoda; Palaemonidae
Exons: 4
Source: RefSeq, a predicted model, not a curated record